GUGAGUCAUCGAAUCUUUGAACGCACAUUGCGCCCGCCAGUAUUCUGGCGGGCAUGCCUGUUCGAGCGUCAUUUCAACCCUCAAGCUCUGCUUGGCGUUGGGGAUCGGCAUCCCGGCUUCGCGCCGCGCCGUCCCCCAAAUACAGUGGCGGUCACGCUGCAGCUUCCUUUGCGUAGUAGCACACCUCGCACCGGAGAGCAGCGCGGCCACGCCGUAAAACCCCCGACUUCUUGUUUUUGACCUCGAAUCAGGUAGGACUACCCGCUGAACUUAAGCAUAUCAAUAAGCGGAGGA
This 294-nucleotide unclassified non-coding RNA is filed under the name Myxocephala sp. RNAcentral's name for it is "partial contains 5.8S ribosomal RNA, internal transcribed spacer 2, and large subunit ribosomal RNA". The stretch from base 1 to 71 matches the Rfam family "5.8S ribosomal RNA", at positions 84 to 154 of the family's 154-position model. Lineage: Eukaryota; Fungi; Ascomycota; Sordariomycetes. The record is from RNAcentral.